CUCGGACGCCGAGCUUCCGUUCGCGGCAGGUUGGGCAUUGCGCACCCGCCACAAGUACCGUCAGCGCAUCGAUUUCGCAAAGCAGCGUGUUGGCAGUAGCAGCAUCUACUGGUCUACGUUCACUCUCGAAGAAUCCAAUCUUCCUUUGGGAUGCACUGACGAAUUCCACGGCAGCGGCUAUUUCACAACCACUGUCGCGGUGUUCAGUGUCGGUGUUAGGCCUAUCCGAAGUCGGAGCGUCGGGGCUUUGGUCGGGGGUGACAUCGUCGUUCGCUGUCGCUUUGGGAAGCGUCCGACGCCGUUUCCCUCGAUACUUGUGGCGAGUUCUGAACUUUCGAUUAUCUAGACUGCGCUUCUUGGGGCUUGCCACGACGCAAAAAUGCAGAGAAACGCAGAACAACUCGAUCGCGACGUCCGAGGCUUCGCUCUUUUGCCGGAGAGAUAGGAGGGGGAGGGGGUGGAGCGCACCGCCGUCCAAUGGCGGCCUCGCACUGUUUGCCGCGAUAUUCAAAACGCGUGACGUAUGCAUUGUUUUUCUUGUUUUUUGUUUAUUCUGCGUGAAGCUACGAGACUGGCUACUAAUGGAUUGUGAAGGGGACGGCCUUCGCAGCAUGUGUGCACGAUUGCAAAUGGCGGCCAACGCAUUGUUUUUUCGACAGGACGACGCGAACUACGCCAUUUUUGGCGACUUUUGCGCAUUUCUCACGUCACCGCUGCCCACUUGGAAGCAUUUUUAGAUAAUUUCUCGCGCGAAUUUCAGCUUGAUAUUUUCAGAAGUAAAAGAUUAUAAUCCAAGGAUGCCAAUACAACCGGAAAAAAAAAGCGAAAAUUUUCCGGAAAACUGCGACUUUUCGACCCGCGUCUCCCCUUAAUUUGAAGGCAACGGCUGUCAAUUUCAUACUCCUGUUUAGACCGGGACUCAUAGCACAGCCUCUGGCACUUUUGUGCAAUUAAACCCAAAUUAACUAACCUUUCAAGAUUUGCGGCUGUAUUUCUUGAUGCUGCAUAUAUGCUUAACGCUCAGCAGCCAUGAGGGGCCUCUCCUCUGUGAGGGCCUCUCGCUCCAUUUGGUGCUCCUUUAGUCCUUGGCGCCGCUCUUCUGCAUGUGCUUCUCGCUCCAUCUGGUGUUCUUUCAUGUCCAUUUCUUUCAUCCUCAAGUUGCUCAUCAGCCGUAUUCUUUGCCGACCCUGGUUUGAACCUACGUGAGUGGGUGGAGCAAAAACAACAGUACGGGGGCAGGUAUUCUGUAAGAGUCUACCUAGUGAACUGUCCAUUUUAGCUGUCGCUGAUUGGCUGCUGCUUUACGUGCAGGAAGGAGACUGGCUGGCACUAGGUAGACUAGAGAGAAUGCCGCCCCAGCUGUGCUACGGUUACAGAGCUGUUAAGAAAGCGCAUUUGGUGUUGAGAUUAAUGAACACAAACAGCAUGCAACGAGUAACAUGCAUAGACUAUAGCAGGCAAAAUACCUGGGUGGCAAGCCUGACACUCGUCUUCUGAAGAUCGUAAGGCGCAACAUGGGCUCGCGUCAGUUUUGGCACGACUCGUUGGUGUUUGUCUUUUUCUGUAUCAAACAGCGUGACGUAGUGACCGAUUAAAAUCUAAUUCAAAACAUUCGCAACUUUGUUCUUUUGUUACCAGUUCAUAAGUAUGCUUCUUCAGGUGAUUGCUGAUGCAUUUUAUGUAUGGGACAUCAUUAUUGAAAGAGAUCCUCUGAGAAGGCUCCUAAGGGUGAUCGAUGUGAUGGCAUGCAGAGUGCAGCUUCCCUGAUAUACCAAGCUGGGUCCACACUGAGUGGCUGUUCCCGGCUCCUUCACUUAUGACAGCAAGCACUGAGGCAUUGCUCUUGCGCAGUUCAAGCACAACACUCAGCACGAGUUCAGAAAGGACCUUCCCAGGGGCUGCUCCUUUUGUCGCGAAGCUUGCUAUGGGCUGCACCCAGUCCUCGAACAGUGGCACAAACAUGACUAGUCCAUGAUCAGCGAGUUGAUCUGUGGCUGUGGAUGCUACGUCACCAUAGUCGACGAACCUGUCCGUUUUGCAGGACACCUUGUUGAAGGCUUCAGACUGCUUGAGCUUUAUCUCAUCCAGAAGUAGAAUGCCACACCUUCUGAUGUGGCUCUUGCCCUGAAAGUGCCCCUUAAUGGUACUUAGCGCAACUUCAUUGGACCCAAAUUUGCAUGGGAUGCCACUGAUGAUUUGGUGCAAGUCAGCUUUAGUAGGAAGCGGCAACAACUGCAUGUCUGAAAUCAGGGUUUAAGCUUUUGGGCUAGAAAUUUGCAACAAGAGCCACGUCAUCAGCCAUUCAUCAUCAUAUCGCCUUCCGUUUUUCAUCUUUGCUUUUGCUGCCAUUAUGACUGUUUUGAAUGCCAGUUACUGCUUUGCAGAGAGAACAUGAAGCACACUUUCAAUGUUAGCUUCAGUCACGUGACAAAGCUUUUUCAUAGCAGCCAGCUCUUUAUUCAGCUUUUCUCUCUUUAGCAUCGCUCGAUAACUUUCCGAUGCAACAUUUUCAGGCAUUUGCUCUUGAGUCUUGGUUUCCGCCUUUGGCAGUUCUUUGUGCGCAUAAAAAACAGUCUACCCAGCAUUUUGCAUUCUGGGCAGGUGGCAUCCAAGCUCAAUGUAGUGCAUGUUUUGCGUCGCCAUGUCUCACCGUCUUUACUGGCUAUCGACGAGGACGAUAUUUGUUGGUAAAGCUUGGCAAGAAAGUCCUGACAUGGCUUCAGCUUUUCCAUGUGGCUGCGCAGGCAUGUUAGGCUCACUGAAUGAGUUAACCUCCAGAUGCGACCAGUCCUGUGUAGACAGUUGAUGGCAUUGAUGGUACAAGCCGCCCAUUUGCACUGACUGACAAAGAUCGCUUGAGAACUUCACUGCCUUGCCGACUCGGGGGACUGCUUUUUGUAUUUGGAGUUUGUACAGGACGACAGUAGAACCAACAAGUUCAGUCGGCCAGCCUUGCACCCGCUGUCACGCUUGCGCCAUUGUUGAUAGCUCCUCGAACAGGGACUGGGUGCUAUCGAGUGCGACGCUGCCUGCCACAGAGCAACCUCUCUCCCCAUAAUCGAAGGUGUUCAGCGCUGUGUCUUCUUGUUCAGCGUCGUCCUGAACAUUCCGACACUUCGGUUGUAGAGGUGGCCUCUCGGCAGGUGCUUUGCGUUUCUGCACAGGCUUUGAAAGAUAUUUUGGACAGUUGGGAAACAAGCGGGGUACGGCGUCAUCCUUGAGGCUGCUAUUUGUCUCGUGGAAUGACGACUUCACCGCUGAAAGUGAAGGUCACACACAACACUAGAGCUCGUGAGCUCCUUGUCGCUUCUUGGGAUCGUGUGUUGCCAUUCUUGAAGCCGCGAGGCGUCGUUAGACGGUUUGAAAAAGUGCCUAUUCUAAGCUGCACCCCUCGCAUAGUCGUAGCCGCUUUUACAGCCGGUCACAAAGCAACGCAGCAUUGUUUAUCACUACACAGGCACAGCAGUCCUCGACAUCCUACGACUAUGCAUGGGAAAUAAAAGCAAACGCGCAUGAUAACAAGAAGACCAGAACGGCGCGGUUGCUUUUUGCAACGUUGGCCUUUUGGGCAUGCAGUCGCUCCCACAUUCCAUUGAAUCCGAUGCCAGCGCCGCCACCUGGUCUGUUGGAGAAGCACAUAAUAGAGAGGUUUAGCUUGUCCGGUAAUCGGGUAAACACAGGCGGUUGGGGCGGAGGUGUAAACGUGAGCGGCCUGUAUGGUGCUGCCACCUGGUGGUGCAGAGCUCAGACAAAAACACCUAAUAUAGCAGUAACCAAGUGUAUUCUAUUUCGCUGCUGGUGUAAAUUUUUGGCAAUGGCGUAAUCGUGUUGCCGAAAAUUUACACCAGCAGCGAAGUAGAAUACACUUGGUCGCUGCAAUAUUAGCUGUUUUUGUCUGAGCUCUUAAGGUGGCAGCACAAUACAGACUGCUCAUGUUUAUGUCUCUGCCUCAAUGCUCCAACGCCUGAUCUGUCGGCGUUUACCCAAUUACCGGACAAGCUAAACCUCUCUAUUAUGUGCUUCUCCGAUAGUGCGGGCGGCGGCGCUGGCGUCGGAUUCAAUGGAACGUGGGAGCGGCGGUGCAGCGGCCCGAGCAUAUUAGCCCAAGUUUGAGCUGCGUUGGGUUGCUGUGGACGUAGUCGCAUGUUUUUUUUUGUGCUGCAGUGUUUUUUUCUCAGCAUGCAAGAGAUGAGUAUGCUUUGUAGUGACUGAGCCAUGGCGCAAAAUCGACAAAACCAUUGGUACGUGCCUGGGUGCCAAACAGUCUACGUUUACAUGAAGGAUGGGCCGAAGUUGUUUUUGUUUGGUGUCUCAAAGGAUGAAAAUAGGCGGAAAGAGUGGGAGAAGACCACAACCAGCACGUGGCCAGAAGCGACUGAAGGCUCACUUAUCACAUUGCUGGCUAUGUUGCGUGAAAGUGUGUGUCAAUGCCAGUACAAAAUGCCAAGAAUGCAUCAAGCUGCUUACUAUGACUCCACCAGGCGAAUGUUUUCAGCUUGCCCAGCUAACGAAAUACUGUAACCAAGGAGGCCUCCUUUAUCCCUCCAGUCAGUUGUACAGCUUUGUGAAAAAGCUCCAGGAUCUCUUUUUGGAAUGCUUCUGUCAGGACGAGCUACACUCUGACAGCAUUGUGGAUAUGCUGGCAGUUGUUCAGAGGAGACUUCCCCUCCAAAUUUGUUGCAAUGCAUACGCUCCUACCCUCACAGCUUAAAUAAUUAGUUUUUGCCUUGUCACACGUCUUCAUUUUUGUGUGAAAGGACUUAACAGUGACAAGGCAAAGGUGAAAUUGAGCCAUUACACAUGAGGUGAAAAUGGCUGGAUGUUGUAUUUCAGUUCUUAAAAAUAAAAGCUUCGUGUCAGCAACAGCCCUGUUAUUGCCAUUUAGUUUACCCUUAUAUUGCUGUACAUAAGCAUAACAAAAGUAACUGCGUAAUGAUGGUAAUAAUAAAUUCAGAAGGUUAGUGAAACAAAUAAAGUGGAACAAGGAAAUAUUUAAGCCUUAUGCACAAUUUUAUUUUAGCUAAGCAAAGGCACAAACGUGGCUAGCAAACCUGCAUUUCUUUAGCUCGGCUAGGAAGUAUGUGCACACUGUUUUCCGACUAAUUCACUGGUGGACUACCGGUCAUAAUGUUGAUACAAAAUCAUUUCAGGUUAGGUCGAUAAUGCAUGAAACUGUAUAUAUAGACGCUUUCAGUGUUUACAAACCGACGGCGCGCGCGCUGAUUGGUUGAACCCAGCAAACUUCCGGCCGAGCGACUUCCGCCCGUUGGAACGUUGCGUUUCAAGUGUGUACUGCGUGCCUCGGUUGCCUCGGUCGUCGGAAUUACGUUAACGUGUUUUUUCUUCGCUCUCUGGAAGCGGUUCUCAAUGUCUAGUGAGUACUUCAAGCAGCUCGACGCCGAAGCUCGUCAACGGUAUCGGCAGAAGCUCACGUUCGAGGGCCAAGAGCUACCCGAUCCACUAGACUCUGAUGUGGUGCAGUUCAGCUUCUCGUCGGGCUGUAAGAACAUUCCACCAGUGUCCGCAGCGGAUAUUUUUGUUUAUCUGGUUGAGGGUGUAUGCUUCUACACCAAAGAACAAUUUAAGAACUUCAAGCUAAGUGACGCGUACAAUUUAUUCGUGAACGGCAAGGUGAAGCGCGUCUCGUCUUUUAAGGCUGGCAAAUGCGGCAGAGGUGUCGUCCUCAUCGUGGCAUCUGUGGAGGCGAGCCAAACCCUUUCUAAGACGUACCAGUCUUGGUGUGUGGUGAGGGGCGACGGUGCCGUUGCAAGUGCUCACUGCACGUGCAUAGCUGGGUAAGUGCACUGUGAUAACGUUUCUUAGGAGCUGAUUGAACGUGUUGGCAAUGAGAGUGUCUUCGUGGGCGUGACUUCGCGUGUUGUCAUGACUGAGUAUCGGCGAGCUUAACCGCGCUCGAGUCGUGUGUGUGUGUAUGCGCGCGGGGGGGAGGCGCUGCAGAGUGUAGUUUCUUUUCCUUGACCGGUCCAUAAUUUAAUCCAUGAUUUUGGCUAGGUUUCAUAAGUUUAGGAACGUGGGUUCGUUCUGUGGUACAGUGCAUGUUGCGUCAAACAUUAAGAAAAGAUCAUUUUGUUGGCGUUAAAUGGCACGGUGGGCAAGAUGGAAGAAAAAGAUGCACUCAAGAUGCUAACGUAUUGCACCUAUCCUGCCCUUUUGUGGAUGUGCAAGGUGACAAACAGGGAGCUGCAUGCAUGCAGUGUGAGAACAUAAUGAAUCUAAAUCGGCAAAAAUGAAGUCACUGAAGAAGCGUCCGCGAUCUGAAGAAAAGUGUUCAUGCUUGCUGCGCCGAGCUUUUAGCUUCCGAAUGAGUAAACAGUGUUUCAUUUUAUUGCAUAGAUCAACUUAGUGUGUCGACGCACCCUACACAUGCUUAACGAAAACAAAAAAUGCAUGGUGCUCCUUUCCACUUCCCCUCCGACUACACAUCCUUUUUUUUUCUGGCAUUACCACGAGUGCGUUUAUUUCACAAACUAGUGUUAAACUUAAAUUACCAGCCAUGUAUUUCCAUGCAUUCUUUAAAAAGUGCUUCUGCCGUUGUUUUGCAGUCUUGGAGAAUGCUUUACCCAUGUUGCUGCCUUGCUUUUUAAUGUGGAGGCAACUGUCAGGUACGGCCUUGACAAGCAUUCACCAACAGAUACUGCCUGUGGGUGGAUUGAGGUGACCAAGAAAGCUGCAGCGGCUCCAGUUAGUGACAUUAUUUUUCAAGCCGAAAAUUCGUCAAGGUGUACCAGAUGAAAUACCAAGGCCCGAGGAAGCUGUACCCACUUGGAGUACAGAGCAACUGCACAGCUUGUUUAAUCAAGUAAAGUCACUUGCACCAAGCACACUGCUCAUCAGCUCGAUUUCUGAUAGCGAGGAAGCUUAUUCUUCCCCAGAAACAAGUGAAAAAGGCCCUGUGCAGGCAGUGAACCAGCAACUGGCAACACAGCUUCCAGUUGGAGGCAUGUACUCUGGCAUUGACGCAACGGCAGCCAAGGAACUGCGCUUGUCAAAGGAAAGCUAGGACGUCAAGCCAGGAAUGGAAAACGGGAGCUCACAGUAGCUGACGAUAUGCCGAAUCUUCCAGCCAAGUCCUGUGUCAGCAAGCCAAGCCGCAGCCUCAUUAAUACCAAAAUAAACUGCUGGGUAUGACUGAGGCGAGUCAUGGAUGGAGGAUGCCGAAUGGACAACAUCUGCAGUAACGAGUUAAACAUGGCAAUGGAUACUAGCCCUGUGUGAAAUUUUACAGUCUUGUUUGUUUUUGUAACGAUGCCCUCAGUAACUUUUGCAUGGUCCAGUGGCACUUUAAGCUUUUCUAGCGUGGCAAUUUGGUUUUUGGCGGCUUCCAACUCUAGCUCUAAACAUCUCACAUGCUUUUUGUAUUUUUUGUUCUCCAGAAUUUGCACUGAAAUAUCUUGUAUUGAAAGAAUGGUCUCUGUUGAAGCAUUGCAUGCUACUUCAACGUCCACUGCCCCAUUGCUGCUGUCGGAACCUGCAUUAUCGCUUGUCUGAGAACCAGCUGAAGCAACGGCAUCCACUUGAGCAGCACAUCUCUUGUUAGUGCGCUGGAAACGAUCAAGCUUCUGCUGCAAGUUUCCAUGAGUACGGUGUGGGAACAAUGUUGGAAUGUAGUCUGGGUGACUUGGAUCGGAUGAUGGUUUACCUGCAGAGCACAUUGACAGAGAAUAAAAAAAACUGCUGAAUUAAUCACAAAGAAAUGGAACUUGGUCACUCUUCCCUAAAGCAGCAAAUUAAAAGCAUUGAACUAUUAAAAAAGGGGGCAUCAGUCGCAAGGAACAAUUGUUUAUUUUUGCAAGAGUUUGUGUGCAAAUUCUGCCAUGCAACUUAAAUCAGUAAGGCUGAUUGUGUGCUGAUAAAUUAUAAAUCUACAAUAAAGGCAUACGACUGUUUAGUUGGCAAAGUUUGCCUUCAUUAUUAAGCUUUGAUGUUUUGGUUGUUCAAAACAAGAGGCUAUCAAUGUGGAAACUUACUUAAAGCACUUAGUAAGAGAUGUAUAUUUCUACCUAGUGUUUGCACAUCUUCAUGGAUUGAUCUCUCAUUUCAAAUGAAACAGCAGACAGCUUUACUCAUGAAGCUUAAAUGCUAUCACAGAGAAAUGAAUUAACACUUUUGAAUAAUCUCCUUUAUGAAAACUUGCUACGCCGUUCUUUAACUGAUGUAGAAAUGUAAUAAGUGGUUUUACAUCUUAUUUAUGAAAUGCUUAAUUCAUAUAACAUUAAACAAACGUUCUAGUGCACUGGAUGUUACAUUUUCUUCCUUUUCUUUCUGUUAUCCUAAUUUUCUGUAAUAUACUGUACGAGCUUCUCCUGCCUGCAAGUUCAUGUAAAUUUUGCUUG
Molecule: long non-coding RNA, 8354 nt
Organism: Dermacentor silvarum
Lineage: Eukaryota; Metazoa; Arthropoda; Arachnida; Ixodida; Ixodidae
Exons: 4
Source: RefSeq, a predicted model, not a curated record